This 922-nucleotide ribosomal RNA is filed under the name uncultured Flavobacteriaceae bacterium. RNAcentral's name for it is "bacterial SSU rRNA". It matches the Rfam family "Bacterial small subunit ribosomal RNA", at positions 65 to 995 of the family's 1533-position model. The record is from RNAcentral. Lineage: Bacteria; Pseudomonadati; Bacteroidota; Flavobacteriia; Flavobacteriales; Flavobacteriaceae.
AGGGGUAUAGUAGCAAUACUAGAGACCGGCGCACGGGUGCGUAACGCGUAUGCAAUCUACCUUUUACAGAGGGAUAGCCCAGAGAAAUUUGGAUUAAUACCUCAUAGUAUAGCGACCUGGCAUCAGGAUUCUAUUAAAGUCACAACGGUAAAAGAUGAGCAUGCGUCCCAUUAGCUAGUUGGUAAGGUAACGGCUUACCAAGGCGACGAUGGGUAGGGGUCCUGAGAGGGAGAUCCCCCACACUGGUACUGAGACACGGACCAGACUCCUACGGGAGGCAGCAGUGAGGAAUAUUGGACAAUGGGCGCAAGCCUGAUCCAGCCACGCCGCGUGCAGGAUGACGGUCCUAUGGAUUGUAAACUGCUUUUGUACAGGAAGAAACCCUUUCACGUGUGAAAGAUUGACGGUACUGUAAGAAUAAGGAUCGGCUAACUCCGUGCCAGCAGCCGCGGUAAUACGGAGGAUCCAAGCGUUAUCCGGAAUCAUUGGGUUUAAAGGGUCCGUAGGCGGCCAGAUAAGUCAGUGGUGAAAGCCCAUCGCUCAACGGUGGAACGGCCAUUGAUACUGUCUGGCUUGAAUUACAAGGAAGUAACUAGAAUAUGUAGUGUAGCGGUGAAAUGCUUAGAGAUUACAUGGAAUACCAAUUGCGAAGGCAGGUUACUACUUGUGGAUUGACGCUGAUGGACGAAAGCGUGGGUAGCGAACAGGAUUAGAUACCCUGGUAGUCCACGCCGUAAACGAUGGAUACUAGCUGUUGGGAGCAAUCUCAGUGGCUAAGCGAAAGUGAUAAGUAUCCCACCUGGGGAGUACGGGCGCAAGCCUGAAACUCAAAGGAAUUGACGGGGGCCCGCACAAGCGGUGGAGCAUGUGGUUUAAUUCGAUGAUACGCGAGGAACCUUACCUAGGCUUAAAUGUAGAUUGA